This 19-nucleotide unclassified non-coding RNA is filed under the name Chlamydomonas reinhardtii. RNAcentral describes it as "small RNA Cre_3223". Lineage: Eukaryota; Viridiplantae; Chlorophyta; Chlorophyceae; Chlamydomonadales; Chlamydomonadaceae. The record is from RNAcentral.
UGGACCAGUGCUUCGCCCU